Molecule: ribosomal RNA, 609 nt
Filed under: uncultured fungus
Lineage: Eukaryota; Fungi
Description: eukaryotic LSU rRNA
Rfam family: 5.8S ribosomal RNA (bases 186-339)
Source: RNAcentral
UGCGGAAGGAUCAUUAACGAAUUAGAGAGUUGAUGCUGGCAGUCUGACUGCAUGUGCUCGCUUUCCUAAUCCCAUUCACACCUGUGCACUUAACUUUGAAGGCGGGGUAAAAACCUGCCUUCGAAAUUUGUAAACUCUUGUUUAAAAUAUCGAAUGUUUAUCUGCCGCAAGGCAAUAUUAAGUACAACUUUUAACAACGGAUCUCUUGGCUCUCGCAUCGAUGAAGAACGCAGCGAAAUGCGAUAAGUAAUGUGAAUUGCAGAAUUCAGUGAAUCAUCGAAUCUUUGAACGCACCUUGCGCUCCCUGGUAUUCCGGGGAGCACGCCUGUUCGAGUGUCAUGAAAUUCUCAAGCAAGAUAGAUUUGUUUCUAUCUCUGUUUGGAUUUGGAUUCUGCCGCGUUAAUGCGGCUGGUCUUAAAUAUAUUAGCUGGUCCUAGUAAAGGUUUGGUUCUAAUCAGCAUGAUAAUUAUCUGAUGUUGAGGGACAGUCUCAGGACUGGCCAGGACCCUCUCUCUUAGGACCGCUUCUAAUCGUCUUUGGACAAUUUACUCAAUAUUUGACCUCGAAUCAGGUGGGACUACCCGCUGAACUUAAGCAUAUCAAUAAGCC